AUUGAACGCUGGCGGCAGGCCUAACACAUGCAAGUCGAACGGUAACAGGAAGCAGCUUGCUUCUUUGCUGACGAGUGGCGGACGGGUGAGUAAUGUCUGGGAAACUACCUGAUGGAGGGGGAUAACUACUGGAAACGGUAGCUAAUACCGCAUAACGUCGCAAGACCAAAGAGGGGGACCUUCGGGCCUCUUGCCAUCGGAUGUGCCCAGAUGGGAUUAGCUAGUAGGUGGGGUAACGGCUCACCUAGGCGACGAUCCCUAGCUGGUCUGAGAGGAUGACCAGCCACACUGGAACUGAGACACGAUCCAGACUCCUACGGGAGGCAGCAGUGGGUAAGGUUGCACAAUGUGCGCAAGCCUGAUGCAGCCAUGGCGCGUGUAUGAAGAAGGCCUUCGGGUUGUAAAGUACUUUCAGCGGGGAGGAAGGGAGUAAAGUUAAUACCUGUGCUCAUUGACGUUACCCGCAGAAGAAGCACCGGCUAACUCCUU
Molecule: ribosomal RNA, 489 nt
Filed under: uncultured bacterium
Lineage: Bacteria
Description: partial 16S ribosomal RNA
Rfam family: Bacterial small subunit ribosomal RNA
Source: RNAcentral